GCUUCUUUGCCAUGCGCUUUGCUUCGCUUUAUUUUUUAGAAAAAAGAGACCAAAUGAGAGUGAAAGGCAAGGGCAAGCGAUAAAAAGGAUAGUCCCUCGCGCGAACUACUACUACUAGAAAAUGGUGAGACCAUUAGUGAAAGAAGGACCAAGGAUGAUCCUAUCCGUCAGUAGAAGGAGGAGUAGGAGGAGUCAGUUUUCUUUGAAGAUCGAGGAAGGUAGUGUCGGACAAUUAUGCCAUUCGGAAGAAGUCUUCUACAGAAGAAAAGCCUGUUACGAGUAAGUGGAGAGGAAAGAUCUCCAGAGAUUCUUAUCUCAUUCUAUUCUAGUGGCUCAACCAGUAACCAAUGGCGAAAACUCAAAAAUCUAUGGUUUCCCGGUAGAACCCUAUUUCACCUAAGUUGUUUCGGAACCGAAAAAAAGAAGCGGUUUUUUGCACAGCUUGCUCAUAGUGCAGGUCCCACUUGUAUAUCGUAUUUGGCCGAAGAAGCAUCGGACAAGUUGGAUUUCUUACCUUCUUGAGACUCCAUGGACCAAGAUCUGUUUUUAUUAUAUGGUCAAUACCAAUCUACUUUAGUAGAUCAUAUGGAUGUAUAAAAAGCAACUAAUUUGGAUGAAAUAGAAACAUCUCUUUUCCAUUUCUAUUUACCCAGUUCAUAUACUUGUUUCGUGUGUUCCUGGGAGGAAUUCGAUCUCGGAAUACCACCUAAAUAACUAUGGCCAGAGAGUCAAAUAGGUCGGGAAGAAAGAGUCUGAGGUCGGGUCGGACGACAUACAUCUUGGUUGGUUCCACCACCACUAGAGAUUGGACAUAUAUAUAAUCUUUCUUCUAAAAAAGGGAUUCUUAUACUCAAGGUCGUGUAAUAGAUUUAUGAUAUAUAAUACGUCAGUAUGGAGUCUAAUUCCUAAUAGGUUUUAUUCAUCUUUCUCCUAUGAUUUUGUUGGAUAUUGGGAACGUUUAAAAAGUCGCAUUGAUUCUGUUAGAUGGAAAGAGAUUUUUCCUGGUUCGAAAAUGCUGGAUCAAAUUCUUAGUUCAAAGAAAGGGUGGGAGAGAUUGAUUGCAAAGAUCACUGGAAUGAAUGGUUGAGGCAAAGAGUGAGGGAAAUGUUGAUCAAUCGAUCUGGAAAAACAAUCCUGGUGAGAGCUUUUCAUCAUACCCUGCUGGGCUUGCUUUGCUCGGAUGUUCUUGCCUUUGCCCCUCAUGCCAGCUUGCUCUCUCAUCCCUCCCACCCUUGCUUAUACCUAGGAUUCCCAUUUGGUUCGGCUUUUCAUAGAUCUACAUGGGAAUCUUCGUCAGAUCGAUCAUGCAGUUAGGGCCAAUCAAGCAGAGAUCAAUUGGCCUGCCAGAGAGCUGACAUUAAAAGACUGAGACCCACAGCACCAAGAAAGCUAGACGACAUAGGAUCAAAAGUUCAGGAUGAUGUGAUCCAAGUCAAUGACGAGGCAAAGCAGUUCCUUGACUUUGUCCAUCGAGUCAGUAGCACGCUUGCAAAGGGUAGGAAGCGGACAGAUGCCAUCGAAUCAGAUGUGAACAAAUUCUUGAAAUCCGCUCUUAGAGUUCGAGAAUCCAAGCGCUGGCAAGUCAGCUAGUGAACCAAGGGGCAAAGAAAGGGGGCCCUUGGGCCACUUGACUCUAAGGAAAGGUAAAAAUUUAGUUCUAUCUUCUACGAUGUAUGCUCUUUAACUGGUUCAUUCUAGAAGAAUGGAUGGCGCAGGAGUCUCUCUUCUGAGACUUGGACUGAUGAACUCUGUAACCUAUAUUCUCCAACCUUCCUCGAUACCCUAGAGGUCAACUCUUGCCACAAGGAAUGUCAUCAUUUUUCGGCUGUUCUAUGAAAAUCCUUGUCGGCUAAGUCCCGACCCGGACAAAAGGCAUAACAAUCUGGGCACUAUCUCGGAGAGAGGCUCAGUGAAAUAGACAUGUCUGUGAAGAUGCGGACUACCUGCACCUGGACAGAAAGACCCUAUGAAGCUUCACUGUUCCCUGGGAUUGGCUUUGGGCCUUUUCUGCGCAGANUUUCCUGCGCAGCUUAGGUGGAAGGCGAAGAAGGCCUCCUUCCGGGGGGGCCCGAGCCAUCAGUGAGAUACCACUCUGGAAGGGCUAGAAUUCUAACCUUGUGUCAGGACCUAUGGGCCAAGGGACAGUCUCAGGUAGACAGUUUCUAUAGGGCGUAGGCCUCCCAAAAGGUAACGGAGGCGUGCAAAGGUUUCCUCAGGUCGGACGGAGAUUGGGCCUCGAGUUCAAAGGCAGAAGGGAGCUUGACUAUAAGACCCACCCGUCGAGCAGGGAUGAAAGUCGGCCUUAGUGAUCCGACGGUGCCGAGUAGAAGGGNGUGAUCCGACGGUGCCGAGUGGAAGGGCCGUCGCUCAACGGAUAAAAGUUACUCUAGGGAUAACAGGCUGAUCUUCCCCAAGAGCUCACAUCGACGGGAAGGUUUGGCACCUCGAUGUCGGCUCUUCGCCACCUGGGGCUGUAGUAUGUUCCAAGGGUUGGGCUGUUCGCCCAUUAAAGCGGUACGUGAGCUGGGUUUAGAAUGUCAUGAGACAGUUCGGUCCAUAUCUGGUGUGGGCGUUAGAGCAUUGAGAGGACCUUUCCCUAGUACGAGAGGACUGGGAAGGACGCACCUCUGGUGUACCAGUUAUCGUGCCCACGGUAAAUGCUGGGUAGCUAAGUGCGGAGCGGAUAACUGCUGAAAACAUCUAAGUAGUAAGCCCACCCCAAGAUGAGUUCUCUCCUAUUCCGACUUCCCCAGAGCUUCUGCUAGCACAGCCGAGAUAGCGACGGGUUCUCUGCCCCUGCGGGGAUGGAGUGACAGAAGUUUUUUUGAGAAUUUAAGAGAAGGUUACGGCGAGACGAGCCAUUUAUCAUUAUGAUAGGU
This 2879-nucleotide ribosomal RNA is filed under the name Capsicum baccatum. RNAcentral describes it as "bacterial LSU rRNA". The stretch from base 1484 to 2879 matches the Rfam family "Bacterial large subunit ribosomal RNA". Lineage: Eukaryota; Viridiplantae; Streptophyta; Magnoliopsida; Solanales; Solanaceae. The record is from RNAcentral.